GACGAACGCUGGCGGCGUGCUUAACACAUGCAAGUCGAACGGAAAGGCCCUGCUUUUGUGGGGUGCUCGAGUGGCGAACGGGUGAGUAACACGUGAGUAACCUGCCCUUGACUUUGGGAUAACUUCAGGAAACUGGGGCUAAUACCGGAUAGGAGCUCCUGCUGCAUGGUGGGGGUUGGAAAGUUUCGGCGGUUGGGGAUGGACGCGCGGCUUAUCAGCUUGUUGGUGGGGUAGUGGCUUACCAAGGCUUUGACGGGUAGCCGGCCUGAGAGGGUGACCGGCCACAUUGGGACUGAGAUACGGCCCAGACUCCUACGGGGGGCAGCAGUGGGGAAUAUUGCACAAUGGGCGGAAGCCUGAUGCAGCAACGCCGCGUGCGGGAUGACGGCCUUCGGGUUGUAAACCGCUUUCGCCUGUGACGAAGCGGGAGUGACGGUAAUGGGUAAAGAAGCACCGGCUAACUACGUG
RNAcentral lists this ribosomal RNA (468 nucleotides) under uncultured bacterium. Its description in RNAcentral is "partial 16S ribosomal RNA". It matches the Rfam family "Bacterial small subunit ribosomal RNA", at positions 28 to 507 of the family's 1533-position model. The record is from RNAcentral.